Molecule: non-coding RNA, 162 nt
Filed under: Paracoccaceae bacterium
Lineage: Bacteria; Pseudomonadati; Pseudomonadota; Alphaproteobacteria; Rhodobacterales; Paracoccaceae
Description: 6S RNA
Rfam family: 6S / SsrS RNA
About the family: E. coli 6S RNA was the first non coding RNA to be sequenced, but its function was unknown until recently. It consists of 184 nucleotides that fold into an extended hairpin structure with a large single-stranded internal bulge.
Source: RNAcentral
CGGGUACUGCCCGAUGCGUGAGAGGUUCCAUUCCAGUGGCCUUACAUUUUCGAAAGGGAGCUGGCUCUGCGACUGGUCGUGGCCUAUCGCACCCGGUGCCCACCUGGUUGUCCAGGCUCUCGGGAAUGACCCAACCUCCACGGUCGUCCUUGCGGUCCCGCC